GCCCUUUACAUUUCUAUACAUUCUAAAAAAAAUCAUUUUGUAAGGCAUUAACAUAUUUAACACACAGCAUUGAAUUUUUAUUAUUUUUAUUUUACAAUUUCUGAACAAUAUCACCAUGUGCAGAGAGGCAAACAGCUCAUAGUCCAUACAUUAUGAACUGGAAGGGCAGGUUUGAAAAGCUUUUUACGGUCUUGUAUAUAGAGACAUAAAAUAAAAAUAGCAAAUACUCUGAUAUAAGGAAAUUCUCUGUUUCCUUGUUAAUUGCACCAUCAAAAGGUAAUCAGGUGUUAUGGCUAAUUUACCAAAAUGCUUCAAAACUGAUCCAAAUCUGAACUUUUCGUGAUUCACCUCAACUGGCCCUAAAAACUGCAGUAACUCAAAAAUAUCAGUGAUGAGUUCCAUUGAACAAAUAUCACCAUGAGAUUCGAUAAUUGAGUAGAUGCCUCAGUGCUUGAUUAUUAUUGGCAUUUAUAUAGUGCCAACUUAUUACAUUGUGGGGGGGAAUUUAACAACACAUGAAAAAAAAAAAAAAAAGAUUAAACCUUUUGACAGGAACACUUAAAGGAAAACUCCAGUACCAGGAAAACAAUCAGUUUUCCUGACACUGCAGGUACCCUCUCUCUACCUCCCUCCCAUCCCUGAAACCUCGGCGGUGGUUUCGGGUCGGCGUCACUCCUCCCAGUAAUCACGUCAGCCGGUGGGUGAGACUGAUCCCACCCGCCGGCUGAGGAAACCUAAUGCUCAAGAUUUUCAGUGCUUUUCUAUGGGGAAUUGAGCAACGCUGGAGGUCCUCACACAGCGUGAGGACGUCCAGCGACGCUCUAGCAAAGAAAAUCUUUGCUAUGAAUCAGGACGUGCCCUCUAGUGGCUGUAGACAGCCACUAGAGGUGGAGUUAACCCUGCAAUGUAAUUAUUGCAGUUUAUAAAAAAAACUGCAAUAAUUACAGUUGCAGGGUUAAGAGUAGUGGGAGUUGGCACCCAGACCACUCCAAUGGGCAGAAGUGGUCUGGGUGCCUGGAAUGUCCCUUUAAAUGAGGAGGACACUGCUUUAAUUAGUUUACAAAGAACCCUCAUACUGCUGCCUAUGGUGAGGGAUUAAUAGAUUAAAUCUCCAUCUUGGUUAUAGCGGGUUUGCUGUACCACAUUUCCCCCUCCUCCACCCCAAAUUUGGCUAAUCUAGCAUGUAAUCAGACAUAAAUAACAGAUUCCGUCCUUCUCCCAUAUUAAAUAUACACAUACACACAUAGCAGUGUGCGGGGUGCAGACUACACUGGGUGGCACCAUUAUUUGGGGUGCAGUUCUUUAGUACGACAGGCAGCUUGGAGCCCUGAAUCGUUGGUUUUGUGUUGCUUUCUCUGCUCGGUUGGGCAGGGAGAGCAGCACAGAGGUGUUAGGGGUGCAGGUAUCAGGUGUAGACCUGGUGUAAUUGCUCCCACAAGCUCCUGAUGGUUCAGAGUGUUGCCAAGGGUUACCACGGCAUAACAACUGAUACUGUGAAUGGAAGAGGCAUUACACCAGAUCUACAUCAGCAGUAGGUGCACACCAAAAGCUCUUCACACUGGACCUCCAGGAAUAAUCAUGUCCUUCCUCCCUGGCCCAAGAUAACAGUAGGGAGUGGGAAAUCAACUUUAAUUUUGUUUUAUUAAUAAUAUACAUGUUCUUAUAAUAAAAAUGUAUACAUACAUACACACCUGCACCUAGGUCAUAAAAAAAAAAAAACACUCAAAACACAAGGGACUGUGUAUUCAAAAUAGAAUGUGCCUGCAUUAAAAAUAGAGCAGCUUAAGAUAUUUUCACAGGAAGACACAAAUGCAGAUUUCUUGCCAUUGUUUGUAUCGAGCACCAGGGCAUGAACGUUUCAUAAGUGCAAGGUUGGAACAAACAUAAUUGAUAGAUAAACAUCAACUAAAACAAUAACUUCGUUGCAAUAAAUUCAUAUUUCAGACCAAAAGUAGUUUAUAGGUACUGUCCAACUUAAAGGGAUACUCCAAGCCUCAUAACCACUACAACUCACUGCAUGGGUUACGAUCAGGGCCGGACUGGGAAAAAAAAUUAGGCCCGGGCAUUUUUCAAUUAGAGCGGCCCCCCAAGAAGGGGGCGGGGUCAGAGAGGGUGUGUUUUGUCAUCACUAAUGACAAGCACGCCCCCUCUCAAAGUAAGCAUGUUGGUUCAAUGCGCAGAGCCCCGCUGAAGAGCUCUAGCAUUAGAAAAAGGCCCUGAAUUUGUUCUGCGCAGCGCAAGCAAAUGUAAUAACAUGCUUGCGCUGUGUUUGCUUUUAAAUUGUCUCUGGUGUCUCCACAAGUGGGAUACCAGAGGACAAAAGGGCCAGGAAAGUGUAUUUUGCAUGUGUUUGGCGCCUGCUUGUGGGAUUGCCUGUGUGUAGAGUGUGGUGUGGUAUUGUGUAAAUAGGUGUAAUAUGUGUUGCUAGGGGCUGUAGAGAGUGCGUGUAUAGGGGCAUAGUGUUAUAGGGGAUGUAGCGAGUGUGUGCAUACGGGCAGUAGUGUGUGUGUAUAGGUGGCGUAGUGUGU
Non-coding RNA from Pelobates cultripes (western spadefoot toad), 2528 nucleotides. The record is from the annotation of a GenBank genome assembly. Lineage: Eukaryota; Metazoa; Chordata; Amphibia; Anura; Pelobatidae.